RNAcentral lists this unclassified non-coding RNA (319 nucleotides) under Bursera glabra. RNAcentral's name for it is "partial external transcribed spacer". Lineage: Eukaryota; Viridiplantae; Streptophyta; Magnoliopsida; Sapindales; Burseraceae. The record is from RNAcentral.
UUCGGUAUCCUGUGUUGCUUACCUAUCGAAAGGAAUCCGAUGGUUUCGUUAGUCCCUUUCCGCCCCCUGCCCUCACGGGUUUUGGGGUGGACAUCAGGCAAGCCUCGUGUUCCCGGCAUGCUUCGCCCAGCUGCGUCGCUGCCUCGGCCCAUGAGGUGCAUUGCCCGUGCUCUCGGAUGCAGAAUGUUAUGUGCGGGUGCGGGGUCUAUCUAUUAGCUCCGUUUGCCCAAGCAACGCAUUUGUCUUACGACACGAACGACUGCCGUGCCCGUCUUGAGCCCACGGCCGUACGGCCUGCCGGGUCUCAUGCGGGCGUCGG